Molecule: ribosomal RNA, 435 nt
Filed under: uncultured bacterium
Lineage: Bacteria
Description: bacterial SSU rRNA
Rfam family: Bacterial small subunit ribosomal RNA
Source: RNAcentral
GUACGGGAGGCAGCAGUGGGGAAUCUUGCGCAAUGGGCGAAAGCCUGACGCAGCCAUGCCGCGUGGAUGAUGAAGGUCUUAGGAUUGUAAAAUCCUUUCAGCGGGGACGAUAAUGACGGUACCCGCAGAAGAAGCCCCGGCUAACUUCGUGCCAGCAGCCGCGGUAAUACGAAGGGGGCUAGCGUUGCUCGGAUUUACUGGGCGUAAAGGGCGCGUAGGCGGAUGUUUAAGUCGGGGGUGAAAGCCCGGGGCUCAACCUCGGAAUUGCCUUCGAUACUGGACAUCUUGAGUACGGGAGAGGUGAGUGGAACUCCGAGUGUAGAGGUGAAAUUCGUAGAUAUUCGGAAGAACACCAGUGGCGAAGGCGACUCACUGGCCCGUUACUGACGCUGAGGCGCGAAAGCGUGGGGAGCAAACAGGAUUAGAUACCCCGGU